Molecule: ribosomal RNA, 757 nt
Filed under: uncultured Bacillus sp.
Lineage: Bacteria; Bacillati; Bacillota; Bacilli; Caryophanales; Bacillaceae
Description: partial 16S ribosomal RNA
Rfam family: Bacterial small subunit ribosomal RNA
Source: RNAcentral
CGAUGGGCCGACGUCGCAUGCUCCCGGCCGCCAUGGUAGAGUUUGAUCCUGGCUCAGGAUGAACGCUGGCGGCGUGCCUAAUACAUGCAAGUCGAGCGAACUGAUUAGAAGCUUGCUUCUAUGACGUUAGCAGCGGACGGGUGAGUAACACGUGGGCAACCUGCCUGUAAGACUGGGAUAACUUCGGGAAACCGAAGCUAAUACCGGAUAGGAUCUUUUCCUUCAUGGGAGAUGAUUGAAAGAUGGUUUCGGCUAUCACUUACAGAUGGGCCCGCGGUGCAUUAGCUAGUUGGUGAGGUAACGGCUCACCAAGGCAACGAUGCAUAGCCGACCUGAGAGGGUGAUCGGCCACACUGGGACUGAGACACGGCCCAGACUCCUACGGGAGGCAGCAGUAGGGAAUCUUCCGCAAUGGACGAAAGUCUGACGGAGCAACGCCGCGUGAGUGAUGAAGGCUUUCGGGUCGUAAAACUCUGUUGUUAGGGAAGAACAAGUAUGAGAGUAACUGCUCGUACCUUGACGGUACCUAACCAGAAAGCCACGGCUAACUACGUGCCAGCAGCCGCGGUAAUACGUAGGUGGCAAGCGUUAUCCGGGAAUUAUUGGGCGUAAAGCGCGCGCAGGCGGUUUCUUAAGUCUGAUGUGAAAGCCCACGGGCUCACCCGUGGAGGGUCAUUGGAACUGGGGAACUUGAGUGCAGAAGAGAAAAGCGGAAUUCCACGGGUACGUUAAAAUGCGUAGAGAUGUGGAGGAACAC